GGAGGGGUGGGAGAGUGGUUAAAUCCACCAGACUGUAAAUCUGGCCGCUUAGCGUACGAUGGUUCGAAUCCAUCCCCCUCCACCA
RNAcentral lists this transfer RNA (85 nucleotides) under Alphaproteobacteria bacterium. RNAcentral's name for it is "tRNA-Tyr". It matches the Rfam family "tRNA". From Rfam's summary of the family: Transfer RNA (tRNA) molecules are approximately 80 nucleotides in length. Their secondary structure includes four short double-helical elements and three loops (D, anti-codon, and T loops). Lineage: Bacteria; Pseudomonadati; Pseudomonadota; Alphaproteobacteria. RNAcentral also lists the same sequence under 2 other names. The record is from RNAcentral.